GGGUGGCGACCGGCGCACGGGUGCGUAACGCGUAUGCAACCUACCUUAUACUGGGGUAUAGCCCGGAGAAAUUCGGAUUAGUCCCCCAUGGUAUUAUUGGGUCGCAUGGUUUGAUAAUUGGAGGUUACGGUAUGAGAUGGGCAUGCGUCCUAUGAGCUAGAUGGUAAGGUAACGGCUUACCAUGGCUACGAUAGGUAGGGGGGCUGAGAGGGUGGUGCCCCACACUGGUACUGAGACACGAGACCAGACUACUACGGGAGGCAGCAGUGAGGAAUAUUGGUCAAUGGGCGCAAGCCUGAACCAGCCAUGCCGCGUGCAGGAAGAAUGCCCUAUGGGUUGUAAACUGCUUUUAUUUAGGAAUAAACUCUUGUACGUGUACAAGCCUGAAGGUACUAAAUGAAUAAGCACCGGCUAACUCCGUGCCAGCAGCCGCGGUAAUACGGAGGGUGCAAGCGUUAUCCGGAAUCAUUGGGUUUAAAGGGUCCGCAGGCGGAUUUAUAAGUCAGUGGUGAAAUCCUAUCGCUUAACGAUAGAACUGCCAUUGAUACUGUAAGUCUUGAAUUCGGUCGAAGUGGGCGGAAUGUGUAGUGUAGCGGUGAAAUGCAUAGAUAUUACACAGAACACCGAUAGCGAAGGCAGCUCACUAGGCCUGGAUUGACGCUCAGGGACGAAAGCGUGGGGAUCAAACAGGAUUAGAUACCCUGGUAGUCCACGCUGUAAACGAUGAUUACUCGUUUUUCGGCGAUAUAAUGUCGGAAGACUAAGCGAAAGUGAUAAGUAAUCCACCUGGGGAGUACGAUCGCAAGGUUGAAAACUCAAAGGAAUUGACGGGGGCCCGCACAAGCGG
Molecule: ribosomal RNA, 847 nt
Filed under: uncultured Bacteroidota bacterium
Lineage: Bacteria; Pseudomonadati; Bacteroidota
Description: bacterial SSU rRNA
Rfam family: Bacterial small subunit ribosomal RNA
Source: RNAcentral